GCAGUUCAUUAAUCCUGGCCCAGUGACAGCCAGUCAUGCUCCUUUCUCUCUCCUGCCGCCGAUCAGGGACACUGAUAGCAAUAAGAAUGGGUGCCGAUGCUGCUAUUAAGUUUACAGGACCCAGGACUAAUUCAGGUUGUGAGCCCAUAGGGAAGGGACUGACCUUCAGCAAGAGCCAUCCAUCAUGAGAUGGGACAGCAUCAUGUAUACUGCCCUAAACUCGUUUGAGGAAAAGCAGGAUUCAAAAUAUGAUGAACAAGUAAGUACUUACAAUGAAAUGUUGCAGUAUAAGGAUUGUGAAAAAGGUUAUACUGAAUGUGGCUUGUUUGUUAUGUGACUCCAUGCAUGCGUGUAUACAUCCACUGAUCAGCAGAUUAACAGAUUCAGUGUGCAACUUCCCCUCCAUUCCUCAGGACAGAAGAAACAACUGCAUGAGUGUGAACUUAUUUUAGAGGAGGCUAACCCCACACUUCCCAAGAGUUUAAAUGUGUUAAACUCCUUCCUCCAUCAGAAACACAAAGGUGCUCCGGUUAUCCAUCCAUAAGGAACACAGCGUUUCUAGCUCUUUUGGCAAUGGCAUAUAAAUAAAUCAGCUUCUGAUUUUAUCCCAGGAACAGAACUGAUAGCACUAGAGUGUUUUGGGCCCUGGAGCCUCUAUCGUCCUGCACUGUGAAAUAUUCAGCUAGGAGAGGCACACGGUGGCAUUUUCCUCUUGGCCUGAGCCACCCACAAAGAGCAUAAUUUAGCUGAAGAAUAAACUUCAAAGGAAAAAGAACCAUGAUGUCGCUCCAGCCCAGUUAACUUCCUCCUCCACUCCUUCAGAAGUAGAAGGGCUGCUUUCAUGUCCCGUCCCCCCCCACUAGAAACCACUAAACUGGGAACAAGUCCCAAUUUAGCUUUGUAAAGUGAAAAUAAAACUUCAGAAGACCGUUUGCCUCUGAAACACUGUCCAGCCCGGGGGUGGGGGGUGAAGGUAAGAGAAAGUCCACUCUGAGGAAAAACACACACCCAGAAGAGCCUUUAAGCAGCCUUUGUCGCUAAAUUCUACAGUGUACUUUAUAGCAGGUUUAUGUGCUUAAUUUAAUCUGCAUGGUAUGGACUGCACAAAAAGAUCUCCUUUAUGAAAACAUGUAUUAUUUCAAUCC
Molecule: long non-coding RNA, 1145 nt
Organism: Hemicordylus capensis (graceful crag lizard)
Lineage: Eukaryota; Metazoa; Chordata; Lepidosauria; Squamata; Cordylidae
Exons: 3
Source: RefSeq, a predicted model, not a curated record